This is a long non-coding RNA of Pteronotus mesoamericanus, 546 nucleotides long. RefSeq lists it as uncharacterized. Lineage: Eukaryota; Metazoa; Chordata; Mammalia; Chiroptera; Mormoopidae. The record is from RefSeq and is a predicted model, not a curated record. The transcript is spliced from 4 exons.
AUGGCAGAACAUCUAAGUAAAGAUGUUCCAUAAACAGAAAGAAAGCUGUGACAGGAGCAUAUAAAAGGUCAGGGCAGAAGAGAAAGAUCUGGAAAUUGUCUGCACGGAGGUAGGUGCUUGAGGACAACUUGAGAAGUUUCUGGUCCAAUUCCUUCAUUUUACAGACUGGCAGAAGACCGGAGGUGUGAUGUGACGUGUGAAGGUUAUUAAGCAAGACUUUGAUCAAGACAGCACUUAGCAAAGCAACAUUUUUAAGAUGAAAUUACUUUGCUUUCUGCAUUGAGCCAAUGGGAGAAACAGAUGCAAAGAGAACAAAGGCCUAUUUGGUGACUAAGUGCUAAAACCUUCUGUCAUAAGUUUCAUGAACUCCAAGUGAUUUUCCACAGUUCGAACUUGCCCUGUGAAAACAUGCAGAAAGCAUCACCAUCAAUUCGCUGCUUUGUUUUGGACAAUUAUAUCUCCGUGUAAUGUUUCCAUUCAAGGGAAAAGGACACAUUAAUCUGAGUCUUUCACAGUAUAAACCUGGUGAAACAUCACAGGAAUCCU